This 797-nucleotide ribosomal RNA is filed under the name Pseudomonadaceae bacterium. RNAcentral's name for it is "bacterial SSU rRNA". It matches the Rfam family "Bacterial small subunit ribosomal RNA", at positions 88 to 881 of the family's 1533-position model. The record is from RNAcentral. Lineage: Bacteria; Pseudomonadati; Pseudomonadota; Gammaproteobacteria; Pseudomonadales; Pseudomonadaceae.
UGAUUCAGCGGCGGACGGGUGAGUAAUGCCUAGGAAUCUGCCUGAUAGUGGGGGACAACGUUUCGAAAGGAACGCUAAUACCGCAUACGUCCUACGGGAGAAAGCAGGGGACCUUCGGGCCUUGCGCUAUCAGAUGAGCCUAGGUCGGAUUAGCUAGUUGGUGAGGUAACGGCUCACCAAGGCGACGAUCCGUAACUGGUCUGAGAGGAUGAUCAGUCACACUGGAACUGAGACACGGUCCAGACUCCUACGGGAGGCAGCAGUGGGGAAUAUUGGACAAUGGGCGAAAGCCUGAUCCAGCCAUGCCGCGUGUGUGAAGAAGGUCUUCGGAUUGUAAAGCACUUUAAGUUGGGAGGAAGGGCAUUAACCUAAUACGUUAGUGUUUUGACGUUACCGACAGAAUAAGCACCGGCUAACUUCGUGCCAGCAGCCGCGGUAAUACGAAGGGUGCAAGCGUUAAUCGGAAUUACUGGGCGUAAAGCGCGCGUAGGUGGUUUGUUAAGUUGAAUGUGAAAGCCCCGGGCUCAACCUGGGAACUGCAUCCAAAACUGGCAAGCUAGAGUAUGGCAGAGGGUGGUGGAAUUUCCUGUGUAGCGGUGAAAUGCGUAGAUAUAGGAAGGAACACCAGUGGCGAAGGCGACCACCUGGGCUAAUACUGACACUGAGGUGCGAAAGCGUGGGGAGCAAACAGGAUUAGAUACCCUGGUAGUCCACGCCGUAAACGAUGUCGACUAGCCGUUGGGAUCCUUGAGAUCUUAGUGGCGCAGCUAACGCAUUAAGUCGACCGCCUGGGGAGU